AACGAACGCUGGCGGCAUGCCUAACACAUGCAAGUCGAACGAGACCUUCGGGUCUAGUGGCGCACGGGUGCGUAACGCGUGGGAACCUGCCCUUAGGUUCGGAAUAACUCCCCGAAAGGGGUGCUAAUACCGGAUAAUGUCUUCGGACCAAAGAUUUAUCGCCUUUGGAUGGGCCCGCGUUGGAUUAGCUAGUUGGUAGGGUAAAAGCCUACCAAGGCGACGAUCCAUAGCUGGUCUGAGAGGAUGAUCAGCCACACUGGGACUGGGACACGGCCCAGACUCCUACGGGAGGCAGCAGUGGGGAAUAUUGGACAAUGGGCGAAAGCCUGAUCCAGCAAUGCCGCGUGAGUGAUGAAGGCCUUAGGGUUAUAAAGCUCUUUUACCCGGGAUGAUAAUGACAGUACCGGGAGAAUAAGCUCCGGCUAACUCCGUG
Molecule: ribosomal RNA, 433 nt
Filed under: uncultured bacterium
Lineage: Bacteria
Description: partial 16S ribosomal RNA
Rfam family: Bacterial small subunit ribosomal RNA
Source: RNAcentral